Non-coding RNA from Momordica charantia (bitter melon), 506 nucleotides. The record is from RefSeq and is a predicted model, not a curated record. Lineage: Eukaryota; Viridiplantae; Streptophyta; Magnoliopsida; Cucurbitales; Cucurbitaceae.
ACUUUUGGCCAUUUGAUGGUUUUGAAAAAGCUUACCUCACUUUUUUUUAGCUCUAUAUUUCUCUCAAAUUUUCCUUUUCUAAAAAUAGUUCCACCACUAUAUUCCAAGCCUUGAGAAUAGCUAGGAAAACCUCUUGGUUGUCCUCAUUGGACCUAUAGAAAGAUAUUUGAAAAGCUACAAAGAGUUGCAAUUAGGAUAUAAUUUGGUCAAAUUGGAAGAGAGAAUGGCUGAAAAUUAGCUUCAUACCCGCCUACGACAAAGAUUUCGACCCGGUUCGGUUUUCCUCCCUUUCGAUCCGGUUCGGUUUGGCGCAUCUGUGCGUGCAGGAAAUCUCAAAAUAAUGUGGCUUGCGCAUUUGUGUAACAUUCCUCAUUUUUCCCUACAAAACACACAUAAUUGUAUCAUUUUACUUUUAUUUACCUAAGUCUAUAAGUGUUCGAGUCCUUAUAAUUUUAACCAAAUGUGUAUAUUUUAUAAUUUUACACAUUUUCACUUGAUUAUAUGCA